UACGUAGGGUCCGAGCGUUGUCCGGAAUUAUUGGGCGUAAAGAGCUCGUAGGCGGUUUGUCGCGUCUGCUGUGAAAUCCCGAGGCUCAACCUCGGGCCUGCAGUGGGUACGGGCAGACUUGAGUGGUGUAGGGGAGACUGGAAUUCCUGGUGUAGCGGUGGAAUGCGCAGAUAUCAGGAGGAACACCGAUGGCGAAGGCAGGUCUCUGGGCACUUACUGACGCUGAGGAGCGAAAGCGUGGGGAGCGAACAGGAUUAGAUACCCGCGUAGUCC
This 273-nucleotide ribosomal RNA is filed under the name uncultured bacterium. Its description in RNAcentral is "partial 16S ribosomal RNA". It matches the Rfam family "Bacterial small subunit ribosomal RNA", at positions 524 to 796 of the family's 1533-position model. The record is from RNAcentral.